CCCCUAGUAACGGGGAAGGAAGCGGCCACAACUUAAAUUUGAAAGGUGGCUUCCGCCCGCAUUGUUAUUUGCAGGGGAUUCUUUUGGCGAGGUUCCUUUCGAAUUUCCUGGAACGGGACCCCCCCGAGGGUGAAAACCCCGUACGGAAGGACACCGAGCCUGUGUAAAGCUCCUUCAACGAGUCGAGUAGUUUGGGAAUGCUGCUCAAAAUGGGAGGUAAAUCUCUUCUAAAGCUAAAUACCGGCCAGAGACCGAUAGCGCACAAGUAGAGUGAUCGAAAGAUGAAAAGCACCUUGAAAAGGGGGUUAAACAGUACGUGAAAUUGUUGAAAGGGAAGCGUUUGUGACCAGACUUGCGCCGGGCGGCUCAUCAGGGGUUCUCCCCUGUGCACUCCGCCCGGCUCAGGCCAGCAUCGGUUCUCGUGGGCGGACAAGAGCGGCGGGAAUGUGGCCCCCCCUCGGGGGGGUGUUAUAGCCCGCCGCACGAUACGCCCGCGGGGACCGAGGUUCGCGCUCCGCAAGGAUGCUGGCGUAAUGGUCACCAACGACCCGUCUUGAAACACGGACCAAGGAGUCGUCCAUUAGAGCGAGCGUUUGGGUGUCAAACCCGCACGCGUAAUGAAAGUGAACGCAGGUGAGAGCUUCGGCGCAUCAUCGACCGAUCCUGAUGUCCUCGGAUGGAUUUGAGUAAGAGUUUUAACGGACGGACCCGAAAGACAGUGAACUAUGCUUGUAUAGGGUGAAGCCAGAGGAAACUCUGGUGGAGGCUCGCAGCGGUUCUGACGUGCAAAUCGAUCGUCAAAUAUGAGCA
This 810-nucleotide ribosomal RNA is filed under the name Cytospora fusispora. Its description in RNAcentral is "Cytospora sp. VVS-2019a partial large subunit ribosomal RNA". It matches the Rfam family "Eukaryotic large subunit ribosomal RNA", at positions 77 to 917 of the family's 3401-position model. Lineage: Eukaryota; Fungi; Ascomycota; Sordariomycetes; Diaporthales; Cytosporaceae. The record is from RNAcentral.